RNAcentral lists this ribosomal RNA (441 nucleotides) under uncultured soil bacterium. RNAcentral describes it as "bacterial SSU rRNA". It matches the Rfam family "Bacterial small subunit ribosomal RNA", at positions 338 to 795 of the family's 1533-position model. The record is from RNAcentral.
CCUACGGGAGGCAGCAGUGAGGAAUAUUGGGCAAUGGGCGGAAGCCUGACCCAGCAACGCCGCGUGGAGGAUGAAGGCCUUCGGGUUGUAAACUCCUUUUAUGGGGGAAGAGAGUGGACGGUACCCUAGGAAUAAGUCACGGCUAACUACGUGCCAGCAGCCGCGGUAAUACGUAGGUGACAAGCGUUAUCCGGAAUUACUGGGCGUAAAGCGCACGCAGGCGGCUAAGCAAGUCUGACGUGAAAUAUCCCGGCUUAACUGGGAUGAGUCGUUGGAAACUGCCUGGCUUGAGGCAACGAGAGGGGUGUGGAAUUCCCGGUGUAGUGGUGGAAUGCGUAGAUAUCGGGAGGAACACCAGAGGCGAAAGCGGCACCCUGGCGUUGGCCUGACGCUCAUGUGCGAAGGCGUGGGGAGCGAACGGGAUUAGAUACCCUUGUAGUC